GAUGAACGCUGGCGGCGUGCCUAAUACAUGCGAGUCGAGCGAACAGACGAGGAGCUUGCUCCUCUGACGUUAGCGGCGGACGGGUGAGUAACACGUGGAUAACCUACCUAUAAGACUGGGAUAACUUCGGGAAACCGGAGCUAAUACCGGAUAAUAUAUUGAACCGCAUGGUUCAAUAGUGAAAGACGGUUUUGCUGUCACUUAUAGAUGGAUCCGCGCCGCAUUAGCUAGUUGGUAAGGUAACGGCUUACCAAGGCGACGAUGCGUAGCCGACCUGAGAGGGUGAUCGGCCACACUGGAACUGAGACACGGUCCAGACUCCUACGGGAGGCAGCAGUAGGGAAUCUUCCGCAAUGGGCGAAAGCCUGACGGAGCAACGCCGCGUGAGUGAUGAAGGUCUUCGGAUCGUAAAACUCUGUUAUUAGGGAAGAACAAAUGUGUAAGUAACUAUGCACGUCUUGACGGUACCUAUCAGAAAGCCACGGCUAACUACGUG
Molecule: ribosomal RNA, 496 nt
Filed under: uncultured bacterium
Lineage: Bacteria
Description: partial 16S ribosomal RNA
Rfam family: Bacterial small subunit ribosomal RNA
Source: RNAcentral